Molecule: ribosomal RNA, 462 nt
Filed under: Nosema cheracis
Lineage: Eukaryota; Fungi; Microsporidia; Nosematidae
Description: SSU rRNA
Rfam family: Microsporidia small subunit ribosomal RNA
Source: RNAcentral
UGCGGCUUAAUUUGACUCAACGCGGGGUAAUUUACCAGGUAUAACAUGAUAUAAUAUUUUAUCAUGAUAGUGGUGCAUGGCCGUUUCCAAUGGAUGCUGUGAAGUAAUGAUUAAUUUCAACAAGAUGUGAGACCCUCUAUGAGACAGAUGUAGUGAUACAUAUGAAGGAGAGGAUUAAAACAGGUCCGUUAUGCCCUAAGAUAAUCUGGGUUGCACGCGCAAUACAAUAAUAUUGAAUAUUAUAAGGGAUAAUAUAAUGUAAGAUAUAUUUGAACAUGGAAUUGCUAGUAAAUUUUAUUUAAUAAGUAGAAUUGAAUGUGUCCCUGUUCUUUGUACACACCGCCCGUCGCUAUCUAAGAUGGUAUUAUCUAUGAACAAAUUUAUAAAGUGAAUAGAUAGUACUAGAUCUGAUAUAAGUCGUAACAUGGUUGCUGUUGGAGAACCAUUAGCAGGAUCAUAAAU